Molecule: long non-coding RNA, 599 nt
Organism: Eubalaena glacialis (North Atlantic right whale)
Lineage: Eukaryota; Metazoa; Chordata; Mammalia; Artiodactyla; Balaenidae
Exons: 4
Source: RefSeq, a predicted model, not a curated record
CCGGCGGUUCAAGUUUCUGCGCCGGGAGGACGCGGCCUCGGCCAAUCCCAGGGCUACAGGGCGCUUUUAAAAUGCAGGGGCCAGUGUCAAGCAACUAGCAGGGCUCUUGCCCAGCUCUGGAGAGAUGUGCGUGCCUCCCUUCCCUGUGCGUUCUCCCCACCCUCUGGAUCAGAACAGUCUUCCCAUAAGCUGGAGCCACUGAAAUAACCUCCUCCCCCUUUCAACAGCUGACAACCACUCAGACCAUUGCCCCGAGGAGCAGGGCAGGGAGGGAUGCUCAAUCACGGGGAAACUGAGUCAGGGGAGCUCUUUGCAGGACCAGCUCCCACCUCAGUGCACUUAAAAACACUAUUCUUAUUAUGAACGAUUUCCUAUCACAACGAACUGCAGAGCAGCAGGUGCCUGAAACCCGACUGCCCGGCUUAAGGAAUCACCGCCCGGCUUAAGAAAUCACCACUUUCGCUGGCCCCUGGAGCCCCUCCUGGUCACCUGGCCAGCCCACCUGACCCCAGGGAGCCUAGUUCACUACACAGAGGAGGCCAAAUUCGGAAUCCCUGCUUGAACUACUGGCCUUGGGCCCCUCUCUAAGAUCCGAAGCA